GACGAACGCUGGCGGCGUGCUUAACACAUGCAAGUCGAACGGGAUCCAAAGGCUUUUUGUUUUUGGUGAGAGUGGCGAACGGGUGAGUAACACGUGAGUAACCUGCCCCCUUCUUUUGGAUAACCGCAUGAAAGUGUGGCUAAUACAGGAUAUUCCAGGCUGGUCGCAUGAUUGGUUUGGGAAAUGGUUUGGUCUGGUGGGGGAUGGGCUCGCGGCCUAUCAGCUUGUUGGUGGGGUGAUGGCCUACCAAGGCGGUGACGGGUGGCCGGCCUGGGAGGGGGGGCUGUCACACUGGGACUGAGAUACGGCCCAGACGCCUACGGGAGGCAGCAGUGGGGGAUUUUGCACAAUGGGCGCAAGCCUGAUGCCGCGGCGCCGCGUGAGGGAUGAAGGCCUUCGGGUUGUAAACCUCUUUCGCUGGGUUGAAAGGCCAUGCUUUGGGUGUGGUUGAUUUGAACUGGUAAAGAAGUACCGGCUAACUACGUG
Molecule: ribosomal RNA, 486 nt
Filed under: uncultured bacterium
Lineage: Bacteria
Description: partial 16S ribosomal RNA
Rfam family: Bacterial small subunit ribosomal RNA
Source: RNAcentral